UGGGGAAUAUUGGACAAUGGGCGCAAGCCUGAUCCAGCCAUGCCGCGUGAGUGAUGAAGGCCCUAGGGUUGUAAAGCUCUUUUAGCGGGGAAGAUAAUGACGGUACCCGCAGAAUAAGCCCCGGCUAACUUCGUGCCAGCAGCCGCGGUAAUACGAAGGGGGCUAGCGUUGCUCGGAAUCACUGGGCGUAAAGGGCGCGUAGGCGGCCAUUCAAGUCGGGGGUGAAAGCCCAGGGCUCAACCCUGGAAUUGCCUUCGAUACUGUUUGGCUAGAGACCGGAAGAGGUUAGUGGAACUGCGAGUGUAGAGGUGAAAUUCGUAGAUAUUCGCAAGAACACCAGUGGCGAAGGCGGCUAACUGGUCCGGUUCUGACGCUGAGGCGCGAAAGCGUGGGGAGCAAACAGG
RNAcentral lists this ribosomal RNA (404 nucleotides) under Fusobacteriota bacterium. Its description in RNAcentral is "Fusobacteria bacterium partial 16S ribosomal RNA". It matches the Rfam family "Bacterial small subunit ribosomal RNA", at positions 355 to 776 of the family's 1533-position model. The record is from RNAcentral. Lineage: Bacteria; Fusobacteriati; Fusobacteriota.